Molecule: ribosomal RNA, 460 nt
Filed under: uncultured bacterium
Lineage: Bacteria
Description: partial 16S ribosomal RNA
Rfam family: Bacterial small subunit ribosomal RNA
Source: RNAcentral
CCUACGGGUGGCAGCAGUGAUGAAUAUUGGUCAAUGGGCGAGAGCCUGAACCAGCCAAGUCGCGUGAGGGAAGACGGUCCUAUGGAUUGUAAACCUCUUUUAUAAAGGAAUAAAACGAGGCACGUGUGCCUUUUUGCAUGUACUUUAUGAAUAAGGAUCGGCUAACUCCGUGCCAGCAGCCGCGGUAAUACGGAGGAUCCGAGCGUUAUCCGGAUUUAUUGGGUUUAAAGGGAGCGUAGAUGGGUUGUUAAGUCAGUUGUGAAAGUUUGCGGCUCAACCGUAAAAUUGCAAUUGAUACUGGCAGUCGUGAGUACAGUUGAGGUAGGCGGAAUUCGUGGUGUAGCGGUGAAAUGCUUAGAUAUCACGAAGAACCCCGAUUGCGAAGGCAGCUUACUAAACUGUGACUGACAUUGAUGCUCGAAAGUGUGGGUAUCAAACAGGAUUAGAUACCCGAGUAGUC